GACGAACGCUGGCGGCGUGCUUAACACAUGCAAGUCGAACGGAAAGGCCCUGCUUUUGUGGGGUGCUCGAGUGGCGAACGGGUGAGUAACACGUGAGUAACCUGCCCUUGACUUUGGGAUAACUUCAGGAAACUGGGGCUAAUACCGGAUAGGAGCUCCUGCUGCAUGGUGGGGGUUGGAAAGUUUCGGCGGUUGGGGAUGGACUCGCGGCUUAUCAGCUUGUUGGUGGGGUAGUGGCUUACCAAGGCUUUGACGGGUAGCCGGCCUGAGAGGGUGACCGGCCACAUUGGGACUGAGAGACGGCCCAGACUCCUACGGGAGGCAGCAGUGGGGAAUAUUGCACAAUGGGCGGAAGCCUGAUGCAGCAACGCCGCGUGCGGGAUGACGGCCUUCAGGUUGUAAACCGCUUUCGCCUGUGACGAAGCGUGAGUGACGGUAAUGGGUAAAGAAGCACCGGCUAACUACGUG
RNAcentral lists this ribosomal RNA (468 nucleotides) under uncultured bacterium. RNAcentral describes it as "partial 16S ribosomal RNA". It matches the Rfam family "Bacterial small subunit ribosomal RNA", at positions 28 to 507 of the family's 1533-position model. The record is from RNAcentral.